RNAcentral lists this long non-coding RNA (331 nucleotides) under Hordeum vulgare. Its description in RNAcentral is "long non-coding RNA (HVUL_LNC009166)". The record is from RNAcentral. Lineage: Eukaryota; Viridiplantae; Streptophyta; Magnoliopsida; Poales; Poaceae.
GAGUUGGCGGCGGAGGAAGACUCGGCAUGAAGGCCAGCCGCCCGGUGGUGUGGUACGUAGUGGUAAUAGUACGCGCCCCGCUCCGAAACAAAGAAAAAGGUGCGUGCCGCGUGCUGAUGUGCCAAAUCUCCUCGUGCUCCUUCCGGAUAAUCCGAAAUCUAGGGGUAAAGGAAAGAUCAAGGUUUUCUCCUUGAUCAAUCGACUUGCCCGUUGAUGGGAAACUCACUUUGCUAUGCUAGGAAACUGACUAAUGAAACUAACAAGUUCAAGUGCUCUAGUCAAGUAGUAAGCUCCAGUGGGAAGCGCUAGUCCAGAUAGAAAGAAUAGACAG